RNAcentral lists this ribosomal RNA (1464 nucleotides) under Salmonella enterica. Its description in RNAcentral is "partial 23S ribosomal RNA". It matches the Rfam family "Bacterial large subunit ribosomal RNA", at positions 1491 to 2925 of the family's 2925-position model. Lineage: Bacteria; Pseudomonadati; Pseudomonadota; Gammaproteobacteria; Enterobacterales; Enterobacteriaceae. The record is from RNAcentral.
CCGGGCGACGGUUGUCCCGGUUUAAGCGUGUAGGUGUGUGUUCCAGGUAAAUCCGGUUCACUUUAACACUGAGGCGUGAUGACGAGGCACUACGGUGCUGAAGCAACAAAUGCCCUGCUUCCAGGAAAAGCCUCUAAGCAUCAGGUAACAUCAAAUCGUACCCCAAACCGACACAGGUGGUCAGGUAGAGAAUACCAAGGCGCUUGAGAGAACUCGGGUGAAGGAACUAGGCAAAAUGGUGCCGUAACUUCGGGAGAAGGCACGCUGACACGUAGGUGAAGUGAUUUACUCAUGGAGCUGAAGUCAGUCGAAGAUACCAGCUGGCUGCAACUGUUUAUUAAAAACACAGCACUGUGCAAACACGAAAGUGGACGUAUACGGUGUGACGCCUGCCCGGUGCCGGAAGGUUAAUUGAUGGGGUCAGCGCAAGCGAAGCUCCUGAUCGAAGCCCCGGUAAACGGCGGCCGUAACUAUAACGGUCCUAAGGUAGCGAAAUUCCUUGUCGGGUAAGUUCCGACCUGCACGAAUGGCGUAAUGAUGGCCAGGCUGUCUCCACCCGAGACUCAGUGAAAUUGAACUCGCUGUGAAGAUGCAGUGUACCCGCGGCAAGACGGAAAGACCCCGUGAACCUUUACUAUAGCUUGACACUGAACAUUGAGCCUUGAUGUGUAGGAUAGGUGGGAGGCUUUGAAGUGUGGACGCCAGUCUGCAUGGAGCCGACCUUGAAAUACCACCCUUUAAUGUUUGAUGUUCUAACGUGGACCCGUGAUCCGGGUUGCGGACAGUGUCUGGUGGGUAGUUUGACUGGGGCGGUCUCCUCCUAAAGAGUAACGGAGGAGCACGAAGGUUGGCUAAUCCUGGUCGGACAUCAGGAGGUUAGUGCAAUGGCAUAAGCCAGCUUGACUGCGAGCGUGACGGCGCGAGCAGGUGCGAAAGCAGGUCAUAGUGAUCCGGUGGUUCUGAAUGGAAGGGCCAUCGCUCAACGGAUAAAAGGUACUCCGGGGAUAACAGGCUGAUACCGCCCAAGAGUUCAUAUCGACGGCGGUGUUUGGCACCUCGAUGUCGGCUCAUCACAUCCUGGGGCUGAAGUAGGUCCCAAGGGUAUGGCUGUUCGCCAUUUAAAGUGGUACGCGAGCUGGGUUUAGAACGUCGUGAGACAGUUCGGUCCCUAUCUGCCGUGGGCGCUGGAGAACUGAGGGGGGCUGCUCCUAGUACGAGAGGACCGGAGUGGACGCAUCACUGGUGUUCGGGUUGUCAUGCCAAUGGCACUGCCCGGUAGCUAAAUGCGGAAGAGAUAAGUGCUGAAAGCAUCUAAGCACGAAACUUGCCCCGAGAUGAGUUCUCCCUGAGACUUUAGGUCUCCUGAAGGAACGUUGAAGACGACGACGUUGAUAGGCCGGGUGUGUAAGCGCAGCGAUGCGUUGAGCUAACCGGUACUAAUGAACCGUGAGGCUUAACCUUACA